AUCCUAUGCCAGAGGUACAACACCAGUCUCACCCCCAUUCCGGCGUGGAGUUCUCUGAGUUCGGUGGCACUUGGGAUAUUCCACUUCAGUGCCAUGGGAAGAAAAUGGUAAGCAAAAAGCAAAAGGAAUAAUGCAAAAAAAAAAAAAAAAUUAUAAUGUUGUGGUAUCCAAUUGCUCCUGCUUCAGCCUUUUAUCCAAAGCCUUGAGAUGGAUCUGCCUCAUCCAGGAAGUUUUCCUGCUUCGUUAGAGUAUCUUCGUUUUCUUUAUCAGACGCUGGCUGGCACUCCACGCCAGUGCACGGCUCCAUGGAAUGCCUGCUGUUGGACACUUGCAGAGCUCUGCCACCAAGCAACCUCCUGCAUUGGAAAUCGGGGGACUACUCCAGGAUCUUAUGCGUGCUUGCUGUUUGAAGCUGCAGAAAAGUGAAUAAUCAAUUAAGUAUUGAUUUCUUGUAAGAUUUGGUAAAUUUCAAAGGCAAGACAAAGAGGAUGGCUUAAGGAAACACUGCAGGGACUUGGCGUAAAUUAGACAACUAACGGAAGCGCAGAAUAAAAUAACACCUCAACUGAAGAUUUCCUUGGAAGAAUUAGCACUAGCUAUUGGAAGACAAUGGUGGAUUUAAUCAAAACAGCAGGCAUGCAAGAAUUUUACCCGUGAACCAGAAAAAGGAGCUAAUUAUAACCACCUUUUUAAUGGAGCUAAUUUGACUGAAUGGAUGCAAAUGUGCUUUAUUUAUGGAUGAAGAAGCAAGCCUUACUGCAUGAUCUUGGGAUCAUCGGAUCUGCUAAGCUUUGCAGCUCCUGUUACCUUCAGUACAUUUUUUAUUUCCGGAGAAGGUAUUUGUAUGUAAACAACAACUAACCAUGCAAAAGAUUCAUCGGAACAAUAUACUGUGGUAUAUGAGAUAUAAUCAUAAUUUUGCAGCCUCUCAGGAUUUCCUCUAACUUGGAGGUUUUGCAACCUUUGUGUGCAAUGGGUUAUGGUAAACAAUAAAUGAAUGAUGCUAAAG
Molecule: long non-coding RNA, 1009 nt
Filed under: Homo sapiens (human)
Lineage: Eukaryota; Metazoa; Chordata; Mammalia; Primates; Hominidae
Description: HSALNT0347828
Source: RNAcentral